RNAcentral lists this ribosomal RNA (439 nucleotides) under uncultured bacterium. RNAcentral describes it as "partial 16S ribosomal RNA". It matches the Rfam family "Bacterial small subunit ribosomal RNA", at positions 339 to 795 of the family's 1533-position model. The record is from RNAcentral.
CUACGGGGUGCUCCAGUGAGGAAUAUUGCACAAUGGGGGGAACCCUGAUGCAGCAACGCCGCGUGGAGGAUGACGCAUUUCGGUGUGUAAACUCCUUUUAUAUGUCAAGAAAAUGACGGUAGCAUAUGAAUAAGCACCGGCUAACUCCGUGUCAGCAGCCGCGGUAAUACGGAGGGUGCAAGCGUUACUCGGAAUCACUGGGCGUAAAGGACGCGUAGGCGGGUUGGAAAGUCAGGUGUGAAAUCCUACAGCUUAACUGUAGAACUGCACUUGAAACUUCUAAUCUAGAGUAUGGGAGGGGGAGAUGGAAUUAGUGGUGUAGGGGUAAAAUCCGUAGAUAUCACUAGGAAUACCUAAAGCGAAGGCGAUCUCCUGGAACAUUACUGACGCUAAGGCGUGAAAGUGUGGGGAGCAAACAGGAUUAGAUACCCUCGUAGUC